Molecule: ribosomal RNA, 748 nt
Filed under: Antrodiaetus unicolor
Lineage: Eukaryota; Metazoa; Arthropoda; Arachnida; Araneae; Antrodiaetidae
Description: partial 28S ribosomal RNA
Rfam family: Eukaryotic large subunit ribosomal RNA
Source: RNAcentral
AAGAACCUCUACGAUAGUGACCCUUUUUGUCAAAAAAAAGGGAACUUGAAUAAGAGGCCCGACUCUGAGGUGCCUGACGCAUUUCCAACCCGCUAUAAUUAGACGCCGCAGCCGGUUGGGUAGCUGCGCGUGUCGGCCAUGAGGUAGGGCAGUGGCAGUAGACCGUUUCUCGCUAAAAAGUGGCGUUUGCCGGAUCGUUUAGCCAGCCCUACCGUGGCGCGACACCCGACCGAGGAUAAAGGGGUCAGAGAUGGCCCCGCCGUCCCUUCAUUAUUUCUGUAUAACACUAAAAUAAAGAGCGGACCGGCGGACAGGCGAGUUGCUGCGCUAUACUGCUCUAGUCCUCGAACUGGGUAGUGCGUGGUAGCCGUUGGUGGUCCGCGUCGGUUAAACCGCAAUGGGAAAUCUCGAAUUAAAAGAUGGCUUGUGGCGAGUAGGUCGGUCACCCACCCGACCCGUCUUGAAACACGGACCAAGGAGUCUAACAUGUGCGCAAGUCAUGGGGUCUUGUUUAGGCCCAGAGGCGUAAUGAAAGUGAGACAUAGCUUCUUCUUCUUCUUAGAGGAUUAUUAAGUUGGGAUUUCCCGAGGAGUUGGAAGCCCGGGAAAGCACCAACGACCCGCCCUAGUACUAUGAUUUAAUUAUAAAGUGUGGACGGCGUUAGAGCGCACACGUUGGGACCCGAAAGAUGGUGAACUAUGCCUGGGCAGGACGAAGCCAGAGGAAACUCUGGUGGAGGUCCGCAGCG